AAGGGAAAUAAUAUUAUGGUAACCGGUUUUGCAGGUAAUUUGAGAGAAUAAAAAGAAAGAACAUAAAUUAAGUAAAUUGUCUGCAUUAUCUUGCCAAACUAUACGUGGAGGCUAUGGACCAAUUAAUACAAGCUUAUCUGGAUCAUUCUAUCGAGGAACUGCCAAAAACGGCACUCUUAUAGUUGAGACAAUUACCAAGACAUAUAUAUUACACAAUGGAUGAUAUAUGGGACGAUUCUACUUUUCUUCUAACAAUUGCUUUGUGGUCUGGAUUAUUAGUUAUUUUGAAAAGAAAACAAUGUAAACGGAGAAGAUUUUGGGUGAGGCCUAUAUAUGAAAAUCGAUGUCAACAAGGAGAUUUUGCUGCUUUAUUUCAAGAAUUAAAGGAUGACAGUGAAAUGUUUUUUAAAUAUACAAGAAUGAACACUCGAAUGUUUUUAUAUUUUACUAGAAAAGGUAUUUCCAAAACUUGAAAAACAAAACUGGAGAGCUCUGCCAUCUGAACUACGCUUGUCUUUAACACUCAGAUAUUUAGCUACUGGUGAUCAGGUACUAUCCUUAGCAAUGGCAUACCGUAUUGGAGAAUUGACAGCACGUGCUAUUAUAAAAGAAACAAUUAAAGCCAUUUCGAGUGUUUUACUUCCUAAAGUAUUACAGCCACCAUCUGAAGCAGAUUUUAUGCGAAUUAGUGCAGGAUUCCUUGAAAAGUGGAAUUUUUCAAAUUGUUUGGGUUCGUUUGAUGGCAAACAUUGCGUUAUUCAAGCUCCUCCACAUUCUGGCAGUUUAUACCACAACUAUAAAAAAAACACAUUUA
Long non-coding RNA from Trachymyrmex cornetzi, 814 nucleotides. RefSeq lists it as uncharacterized. The transcript is spliced from 4 exons. NCBI's taxonomy places the organism in Eukaryota, Metazoa, Arthropoda, Insecta, Hymenoptera, Formicidae. The record is from RefSeq and is a predicted model, not a curated record.